UACGGGAGGCAGCAGUGAGGAAUAUUGCACAAUGGGCGCAAGCCUGAUGCAGCCAUGCCGCGUGUAUGAAGAAGGCCUUCGGGUUGUAAAGUACUUUCAGUCGUGAGGAAGGUGUUAAGGUUAAUAACCUUAGCAAUUGACGUUAGCGACAGAAGAAGCACCGGCUAACUCCGUGCCAGCAGCCGCGGUAAUACGGAGGGUGCGAGCGUUAAUCGGAAUUACUGGGCGUAAGGGCACGCAGGCGGUUAAUUAAGUUGGAUGUGAAAUCCCCGGGCUUAACCUGGGAAUGGCAUUCAAGACUGGUUAGCUAGAGUCUUGUAGAGGGGGUAGAAUUCCAUGUGUAGCGGUGAAAUGCGUAGAGAUGUGGAGGAAUACCGGUGGCGAAGGCGGCCCCUGGGACAAAGACUGACGCUCAUGUGCGAAAGCGUGGGGAGCAAACAGGAUUAGGAUACC
This 453-nucleotide ribosomal RNA is filed under the name uncultured bacterium. RNAcentral's name for it is "bacterial SSU rRNA". It matches the Rfam family "Bacterial small subunit ribosomal RNA", at positions 340 to 786 of the family's 1533-position model. The record is from RNAcentral.